AUUGAACGCUGGCGGCAGGCCUAACACAUGCAAGUCGAACGAGCGGCGGACGGGUGAGUAAUGUCUGGGAAACUGCCCGAUGGAGGGGGAUAACUACUGGAAACGGUAGCUAAUACCGCAUACCAUCGGAUGUGCCCAGAUGGGAUUAGCUAGUAGGUGGGGUAACGGCUCACCUAGGCGACGAUCCCUAGCUGGUCUGAGAGGAUGACCAGCCACACUGGAACUGAGACACGGUCCAGACUCCUACGGGAGGCAGCAGUGGGGAAUAUUGCACAAUGGGCGCAAGCCUGAUGGAGCCACGCCGCGUGAGUGAAGAAGGUUUUCGGAUUGUAAAGCGCUUUCGUAGGAGAGGCGUUAUCUUACGAGAAAGCAACGGCUAACUCCGUGCCAGCAGCCGCGGUAAUAC
Molecule: ribosomal RNA, 406 nt
Filed under: uncultured bacterium
Lineage: Bacteria
Description: partial 16S ribosomal RNA
Rfam family: Bacterial small subunit ribosomal RNA
Source: RNAcentral